CAGCCGCCACGGGAAUACGGAGGGGGCUAGCGUUGUUCGGAAUUACUGGGCGUAAAGCGCACGUAGGCGGCUUGGUAAGUUAGAGGUGAAAGCCUGGAGCUCAACUCCAGAAUUGCCUUUAAGACUGCCGAGCUAGCAGGUGAGAGAGGUAAGUGGAAUUCCGAGUGUAGAGGUGAAAUUCGUAGAUAUUCGGAAGAACACCAGUGGCGAAGGCGGCUUACUGGCUCAUACUGGACGCUGAGGUGCGAAAGCGUGGGGAGCAAACAGGAUUAGAUACCCCAGUAGUCCCUGUCUCUUAUAC
This 301-nucleotide ribosomal RNA is filed under the name uncultured bacterium. RNAcentral's name for it is "partial 16S ribosomal RNA". It matches the Rfam family "Bacterial small subunit ribosomal RNA", at positions 509 to 807 of the family's 1533-position model. The record is from RNAcentral.